GGUUUUAGGUUCUUGUUUGUAUGGGAAAAACCAAGCUAGAUGGGAAUCUGUAAUUGACAGAUUGAGAAAAUUUCCAAACAGUGAAAUUCAGAAAAAACUUAGAAUAAGUUUUGACACACUGGAUGAAUCUACACUAAAGAAUACAUUUCUUGAUAUUGCAUGCUUCUUUAUUGGUAGAAAGAAAGAAUACGUAGCAAAAGUGCUAGAAGGACGUUAUGGUUACAAUCCAGAAGAUGAUUUCGGAACUCUCAUUGAACGGUCUCUGAUUAAAGUUGAUGAUUCUGGAACGAUAGACAUGCAUGAUCUAUUACGAGGGAUGGGAAGGGAGAUCGUUAAGGAAGAGUCACCUGAAAAUCCUGCGCAAAGGAGCAGAAUUUGGAGUCAAGAGGAUGCGUGGAUAGUACUCAAGAUGCAGAUGGUAAGCACUCAAUGCAUACAGAAAAGCACAUUCAUUUGUAUCUUUAUUGUCGAACUUAUUACAAACAAUCAUAUGAAAGUUCUAUGGAUUUUGUUUUCUUUUUUAGGGAACAGAAGUUGUAAAGGGCCUUACACUGGAUGUGAGAAGAUCAGAAGACAAAUCACUAAGCACUGGAUCAUUUACAAAAAUGAAAAAUUUAAAAUUACUCCAAAUCGAUGGAGCAGAACUCACCGGAUCUUUCGAACGGCUUUCUAAAGUGUUGACGUGGAUUUGUUGGCUUGAAUGUCCUUUGGAAUUUUUACCAUCCGACUUUUCACUGGACUACGUAGUUGUUAUUGAUAUGCAGUACAGUAACAUCAGAGAAUUAUGGAAGAAAAAAAAGGUGCGAAACAUAUCAAAAUGCCCAAAAAUUUGUCUAGAGAACUUUUGAUGAUUACUUUUCAAUGAUUUUUCUCUCUGCUCUGACAGAUGUUCAACAAUCUAAAAAUUCUUGAUCUCAGUUAUUCAAAGAACCUUGUUAAAACACCAAACUUGUACAGUUCAAGUCUAGAGAAAUUACUGCUUGAAGGUUGCUCAAGUUUAGUUGAGGUACAUCAAUCUAUUGGACAUUCAAAGUCUCUUGUAUGUUUGAACAUUUGGGGGUGUUCACAACUUAAGGAGCUGCCGGAGUGCAUGGGUGAUAUUGAGUCCUUCACUGAGCUUCUAGCAGAUGGAAUUAACAACGAGCAAUUUCUCUCUUCAGUUGGACAUUUAAAGUGUGUGAGGAAGUUGUCAUUGCGCGGACACUGGAAGGGGGACUGGAACUUACCAUAUCGGCCUUCACCAAAUUCUUCUUGGAUUUCAGCUUUUCGGAUAACUCCAACUUCCAUUAUUUGGAGAGUUUUGGGAAAGCUAAAACUUGAUGGUUAUGGUUUGUCUGAACGCGCAACUAAUUGUGUUGAUUUUGGAGGUUUGUCCGCUCUUGAAGAGUUGGAUCUAUCUAGAAACGAGUUCUUCAGUCUGCCUUCUGGCAUCGGCAUCCUUUCUAAGCUGCGGCUUUUGACCGUUCAGGAAUGCGGAAAUCUUGUAUCAAUCCCAGAGCUUCCCUCAAAUUUAGAAAAUUUGGAUACAUUUGGUUGCAAAUCAAUGCAAUGGGUAAGACUACCAAUCCAAGCAAAAAAAUAUCUAAGUCUGUUUCUGAUUGGUUGUCCGGAUUUAAUGGAGAUUGAAGGCAUGGAAGGUCUAAGUAAUCAUGGCUGGUUUAUUUCCUAUAUUACCAAGAACAAGUUAUCAAAUAAUUAUAAGAAAAGUCUUGCUGAGGUACUAUUUCUGUCUUUCUUGCACACAAAUAAGCACACAAUUGGCACGUACAAUAUAUACAUUAAUUAAUGUCUAAUAUAUACAGGCACUGUGCUACGGUGGUUACGCGUAUCAUAUGUUCUUCAAUCGUUGGCAUACAUUCAGCCACAGAGAUAAGUUCACUAUGAUUCCAAAUUGGUUCAGCUACUGAGGAAAAGGAAGUUCAUUAUCAUUUCAUAUACCUCCAGUUUUCCAAGGCUUGGUCGUUGGGGUUGUCUGUAAACGCUUGAUAGGUCUUAUUGGAACCCCCAAAUUGUGUAUAAAAAAUAAAAGCAACGGUAUUCAAUUGUUUGAAGCAACUGUAAUUCAAUGUGUCGGUAGAAAUUGGUUGAGAUACAUAAGUCUAAGCGAGAUGGCAAUGAAAGAAUAUUGUGAAGAUGAGGAAUUGGAACUGUGCGUGGGACUUUAUACGGGAGAAGACGCUGAAGUGUUUGAAUGUGGGAUCCAUGUGAUAGUUGAAAAGACAGAUUCAUUUGAAGGGUCAGAGUGGGAUCAUGAGUCUGAAGGUGGAAGAGAUAGAGUAAUACCUGCACCACCAUAUCUGUCUCAAUAUGCGCGUUACAAUUUCUUUGAGAUUUACGGCAAGCAAGGUCUCAGUAAUUUAUCAAAAAAUACCAAGGAUCGGCUUCUUGAGGUACUAGUUCUGUCUCUCUUGCACACAAAUAAACACACAAUUGGCGCGCGCGCACACAGAUAUAUAUAUUAUUCGGUGUCUAAAAUCUCAGCAUUUCUUGAAUUCAAUAUUUAUGCAGAGAAUCUUCAAUUAUCAUUUUCUCGAGUAUUUUAUUCCCUUCAAGGCUUAUUUCGUUCCCUACGAUUAUUCUAUCAUUCCAAAAUGGUUCAGCUACGGUGCAGAAGGAUGUUCAUUAUCAUUUGAUAUACCUCCAGAUUUCGAAGGCUUGGUCAUUUGGGCUGUCUGUUCAGGUGGUGGGCAUCAAGAAUUCAAGGCUAUUAUAAAAAAUAAAAGCAACAGUCCGAAGUUGAAAGCGAUAGAACGAUACCUUCGCCACCAUAUCAUCUGCUUCACCAUCCCCGUCAUGGUUCAAUGAGAUUUUCUACAAGGCAGCAGUGGAAAGCUUUUUUGAUUCGGGCGUUCAGCCUAUGGAAAACCAUAGUCAUGCAAAAAUUCUUACCUGAUGAUCUCAAUUAGUCGAGGGAUUGGUUUAAGAAAACUCCCCACUUUAUGCCCACUUAGCAAUGAUAUUAUCAUCUUGUUGUGUUAAAUCACUAAUUAAAUAAAUGUAGUAUUUUUUUAAGCUAGCAAAAUUAUUGGACUAAUGGGCUGUGGUUGUUUAAAAAAUCUUAUCCAACAAAAUCUUCAUGGGUGUUAAAUGCCAAUUGUUUCUAAUAUAUUUUUUUCUUGACUAUUUUAAGCAAUUGAGUAAUUAUCUAUAUAUAUUUUAAGAGACUACAGGAAAAGAUCGAGCUGCGAAAAAAUGAAUAUUUAUAUCAACUUGGUUUCCUCAUAAAAGACCAUACACGGAUCUUUUUAUCAACUUACAUAAAAAGUCUAAAUUGCAUAGAGUACUCUAACUAAGAAAUCCAAAAGAAAUAGGAACUUUAAAAUGAAAAGGGUGUCAAAGGAUUAUACCUCAACGACCCUCCUGAGCAUUGGUUAUCCUUCCAUUUCAACAAAAUCAAACUAGUACCAGAUUUGGUGGAAACAAACUAAAUUGAAUAAUUCAUCACUUAAUUUUAGAUAUUUUUAUGUUUUUUUUUUUAAAUAUUGUUAUACUUUCAUAAGUUUUAGAUAUUGUUUGUUAUACACCAUUAACCUCAACAAGAGAAUCAUUAAAGAAUUGUAGACUUUGUAUCAACUAAAACAAAUAAUAAAUCAAACAAUUCAAAGUUGAACCUUCUUUUUAAUUUUAAAGUCUUGUUUGUUGUUAGAUCAUAUCUUAGACAAGUUAUAAGAUUUUCUAUAGAUAAAUCAUAAUGUUGUAAACUUGUUUAAAAGACUAUGAUAUUUUGGUAUAGACACAUGGUGGAUCAGACUUUAGAAUAUUGUUUGUCACUCUUGUCCGUAAAAAUAUCUUUAUGAAAUAAAAAUUUUCAAAGUUUUGUUUCGUAAUAGAUAAUUUUUUAUUUGUUAGGAAGUGUUCAAGCAUGACUAUGUUUUCUUCAUAUAUGUAAUAUUGAUUAAAGAAAGAAUCCAUAGAUAUAAGCACUUGUAGGCUCAUGCAUUAGUGAGUAAACACAAGGAUAUGCAUUGAGGAAGAUAAUAAUUAAAAUUUUGGAAUUAUUGUAAAAUGGAUAGAUUUUACUUGAUUUUAGUUUGGUUUUAUUAUUUUAUUAUUUUAACUCAAUUUUGAAUGAUAAGUUAACUCAUGAUUUUAAUAUUCAUGCAUUUUCCUACACUUUUCAGAGCCCUUGCACUGCCUUGUCAAGAUUCAAAAAAGUCAAAAGAUUUUUUUAACAAAAAGAAAAAAAAAGAAAGCCUCCUGUUACAUUAUCAAACAGAAUAUACUAGUCACUAGCCCAAAAUCCCUUAUAACCUAUGAAUGAAUAAACAUUGAUUGAAAAUAUUUAUUUAUUUACUUGAAAUUAAUAUUUUUUGGUGUUUUUAAAUUAUUUUGAUGUGUUGAUGUCAAAAAUAAGUUUUUAAAAAAUAAAAAAUAUAUUAUUUUAAUGCAUUUCUGAACAAAAACACUUUAAAAAACAAUCACAAUCAUAUUUUAAAGCAUCCCCUUACACAAAUUAGCAUAUCAACGAACAAGAACAAUUUUUUUUUUUUAAAAAAAGGUGAACUUUUUGGUCCAACUAACAUGUUCUUUAAGUGCUAAAAACUACACCAAAAAGAGAAAUCACUUUCAUGUUGUAAAAGAAAGAAACGAAGAGCCCGUAAAACCUGAAGGAAGGAUCAUUGCACGCAAAAAUGAUUGGAAUGAAAUUGGGCUUUCUUCACGGCAGAAGUUUCUUUUUUCCCUCUGCCAAUCCAACCGGUUGAAAAGUACCAAUUUCAAAAACUCAUGCAUGUUUUUGAAAUUAAUGUUAACAUCGGAGGGGUUAAUAUCUAAUUUAUAUCAAAAUAAAUUAGAUAUUAACCCUUCCGAUUUAUAAUUCCAAAUAGAAAAAAUUUAAUGUUAAAACUAUUUUAUUUUAAAAUACCUAUCUUGUUUUUUAUGGAACUUUAAAGAAAUUAGAUGAAGGUGAUGAGGGUAAUAUAAAAUAUAAAAUGAAUUGAAUUCUAUUUAUUUCAAAUAUGUAAAUUUAAUUUAUUUAUAAAUUGAAUUCAAAUUUAAUAUUAUAAUUUAAUUUAAUUACGGUGGAAAAUUGAUUCCACACAAGCAGUUAAGAAAUCAUCUUAAAAAACAUCAUUAUUAUAGGUCCAACUUAAAAUUAAGUUAUAUAACUAAACACAUAUUAUACAAAACAACUCUAAGAAAUUAUGAGUUGUUAUUAAAUAAUCCAAAUUUGCUAGUGGACUGAGUAAGUAAACAUUGUAAAAUUAUACAACUUUACAAUAUUGUAAAAUCAAUAUUGUAAAAUUAAUAGUAAAAUCAUGAUUUUACCUGAUUUUAGACUAGUUUUAUUAUUUUUUGAUUUUAACUCAAUUUUAAACAAUAAAUAUAUAUUUACUCGUAAAAUUAUACAAGUUCACUCAUGAUUUUAAUACCUCCUAUAGAAGCGGCAACACACUCCUAGUGAGACUAGUACCAAAAAUGAUUACCUGACAUUCAACAUAGAAGAUUCUGCUACACAAUCAUUCGGGGUAUAUAAUGGUGGCUACUAUCCUUACAAGGUACACAAACCUAAAAGAGAUUUUUUUUUUCUAAUUUUGAUAGUGAUAAUAUGCAUAAAUGGUUAUAUAAAUAAAAUUAAUAUUUUGAUAUCAAGGAGAUUGUUGAGGUUGGAAAACUUAAGAUAGUCUCCUAUUACUUAGAUGACAUAACUUUGUAUUGACACUAUAAUUUCGUGAAGGGCAAGAAUGAUCAAUGCAUGUCUUAGAAUGAAUAUGUAGAGGCAAUAUGCUCUAGGUUUGGAGGUCAAAAGGAUCUAUUAGAAGAGUUUAAUGACCUCAGACAGAAUAAAGAAUUAGAGGGUUACAAUAAGGACUUUGAUAUACUUUGGAACAUGGCUGAAAUCAAUGAGAAAUAAGCUUUAAUAUUCUUUUUAUGAGGGUUUUUAGGUGGAGAUUAAGAAUUUAGUUAAGAUGUUGGAACCAAAAACUUUAAAUCAAGACUAUAACCUAGCACGUUUGCAAGAUAACAUCAUAGCCUACAGGAGAUCCUACCAUAAUUCCAGCAAACUUGUACCAACAAACACCAGCUGUGUUGCUUAAUCCAAACCCAUCCAAAACCAAAGAUCUUAUAAAAUUCCACAACCAUUAGCUGCCAUUAACCUUAAAUAGCCACAAAAUAGCUUACUACCAAACCCUAACCCAUACCCUCCGUACAAACCUAAUUUGAAGCCCACCAAAUUUGUAAAGAAUAAGAAGUUGGAUGGAAGGAGAGCUAAGGAAUUGUGUUUUUGGUGCGAUGAAAGGUUUGUGUCAAGCCAUAAAUGCAAAAUUAAAAAGUUGUACUAGUUGAUGGUGAUGAGCCUAGCUUUGAAUAAAUAGGUAAUUCCUCACAUUUCUAUCAAUGCACUGGAAGGAGUCAUUUGCUCCUCUGUAUAGUUGAAAGCCUCAUCAAAUCCAAACUUGUUCUUCAACAAGUCAACCUUAAGAUUGAUAAGAGAAAUUAAAAGCAAACACCAUACAGAAUCUGGUUACAGAUGUUUCUUUGCUUUCAUGUCAUCUACUUAAAUAUGUAGCAAUAAAUUGAAAGCUUGCAGGUUUACUUGCUGAACAGCAAUAACAGGACAAGACAGUUGUUUCACACGGUUAAUACUCAUGAUCGGCUGACCAACCUUUUCUUGGCUUCCAGCACUUCCAACAACAUAGCAACCCAAUAACUUGGCAAAUUGGCCAACAAGCUGACCUACUGCACCAGAAGCUGCUGAAACAAAGACAUACUCCCCUUUCUUUGGAGAGCAAAGCUCAUAAAAACCACAAUAUGCAGUCAUACCUGGCAUUCCUGCAACGUAUAAAUGUACUACAAUUAGAUAAACUUUUGACCAUCUAGGAAAGAAUGAUAAUUAUACGGGUGAGGAAUUAUUAGAUAUAAUUUUCAAUUUCAUUUACAAUGGACGUUUGAAUUAGAUGGACAAGGAAAGAAUCUCUUUCUUUUGUCACUCUUCAUCUUAAUUGUUAUUGCUGCAUGCUUCAUACGUCAGAAAAUGAAGAUUAUAUCUUGAAAGCUUCCUAGCAUGAAAUAUCAUAUCUGCUAAGGAUGCCGAAAACUAAGUGGAGCUCACAAUUACCAGCCAUGUAUUUUAGUAGCACCAAAGCUACCUAACUUAAAAAAGAUAAAAUUGAACAAAAAGGAUAAAAAGAAAACAAAAAAAAUUCUUGACUAGAAUUACAUAUAUCAACAGCCCUAUUCUAAAUUGUAUUGAUUGUUUUCUUGAAAAGUAUUCAAUGAAAUGCAAGAUAAGCAGAGUGACUGACGAACCAGGCUUGAAGGACUCAGCAUAAGAUCCUUCAAGUAUUAACAUUCUACCUCUCAUGGCUGAAUGCAUGACAAAUAAACAUUCUACCUCCGUAGUACUGCAUUCCGCAGCAAUCCUCAUGCAUCAACGAGUGACAAGUCGAAGUCUAAGAAGAAGUCUGAAUACAGGGUAUAGCAUGGCAGAAAUUUUUUUUUUUUUUUUUUGAUUUACGUGGGGUGUCCGGGCCAGCUUACGCGCACCACGACUAUUCCCCACGGCCCACUGGACAUCCUGCAAGCCCAGGAGCAGGUAAGGCACCGCGGGGGUGACAGGCGUGCACAUAGAGGGUCGAACCCGGGACGGGGGCGGAACAAGUCAUACUGUUGACCACAGCAGCUAGACCCUCAAGUGCGCAUGGCAGAACUUUUAAUUUGAUUGUUGGAUGCUUCCUUACCUACAAGGAUGGGAACAUGCCCAAAUUUGGUCUCGUUUUGGAAAUUUUUGUAUUUAUCUAGUAUUUUUGGAUUUCUUUUUUUAUUUUGUUCCUUUUCCUUUAAACCUGAGGUCGGUUUAAAGUACUGUUUAAACCGUUUGUAGCUUAUUUUCAGAGUAGAUUAAUUGUUAUUAUCAAAUUUAAAAUUUAUCAAAUCAGAGUUUGGGUCUAUGAUUGUUGCUGCUGCCGCUGCUGGAAUUUAAGUUGAUGGUUUCUUUUGAAUAGUUGCAUUUAAUUUAUGCUAAAGAAUAUGAUAAUAGAUCAGAGCCAAAAUUGUUUAGAAUAUGAUAAUAGUUGCUGUAGUUGGAUGUUAGUUGGCAAGUCUUUUCGUUUGAAUUUUGCAUUUCUAAUUUUAGAAAUGCAGGUUCAUUUUGGAUUAAACUACAUAUCUUGUUUCUCUGCUAUGCCUUGUGCCAAAUUUAUUUCCUUUAUUUUUCAGUGAUGUAUUGUGAGUCAAAAUUCGUAUAAAUCAUCACAGCUAAAUAAACGAUUCAUUACUUUGCACAUCAGAUUUUCUAAUUUCAAUGUUAGUUCUAUAAAGAAGGUGAUAAAAGCCUGGCUGUUGUUCCACUGGAUAUAUGAACAAAACUAGAAAAAUAUCAGGACCUUCAAACAUGGAAGAGGACUGGUCCUUGCUGUUAAAGAAGUGAAUAGUUCUAGAGCUCUCUGAAAAUACCAAUAAAAUUAAUCCAUCGAUGAUAUCUUUGUAAUUGGUAAGAUGAACAAUGCUAAGGAGAAAUGAACAGUUUACCAAUGAGUUUACGAAUGGAUUUUACUGAAGGUAUUAAUACCGUCGGUAAUUCUGUUGGUAUAAAUGACAUGUCAUCGUAUUUUUUGGCUUUGUUUUAAUUCAUUCUUUUUCCACUGUAAUUCUGUGGAUAUAUAUAGAGGAAAUAUAUUUCUGUCGGUAAAAUUCACUAUAAUUACCCGACAAAAACAUUUUGUUAAUGUUUCCACUUGUAUUUGUCAAUUUGUUGGUAAUGUGAAUCUAAUUUCCAUUCUAAGACUCUACCUACUUCUAGUCUCAAUAUUGUCAAGGAUAAUAUCUCUUACUAUUCAUCUUUUCCUUUGAAUCUCUAACCAUAUCCUUUUAUUUGUGAGUACUCUAUGACACUUUGUCCAUAUCAACCCAAACAUUAUCUUGUCCAGCAUCUUUUGUUUAUCCAAGGUUGCUUCACCAUCUUUGAGCCUGUUUGGCUCUGCGGCUGCGGUUGUGUUUUUUUUAAAACGCAGUUGCAGCCGUUUGGUUACAAAAAAAAACAGUUUACUGUUCAUUGGGUCCCACCUGUUUUCUGCGUUGGAAACGCAGUAUUUGCAAAGCAAGAAUUACAUGCUUUUUUUGCACUGUUCACGUAAUUGCACUGUUCAUUGAACAGUGCAAAAUGAUGCACUGUUCAUGAACAGUGCACGAAAAGUGCACUGUUCAUGUUAAAAAUAGUGAACAGUGCACUUUUCUUGCACUGCGUGGAUUUUUUUUUUAGUGUGUUAAUUUUUUUUUUGUUAAUUUUUUUAAAAAAAACUAAUUUAGAGUGAAUUUUAUACAUGAUAAUAUUUUAUUUAAUUUUAUUACACGCUAAAAAAUUAUGGAAACUGUAGUUCUUGUCAGAUAAAUUUUAUACGUAAUGGAAUUGUAGAUAGUUUAAUAGAACAAUAAUUUUUUUUAUAUAUAAAGUAUGAUUUAUUUCAUAAUGUUACCGCAAUAGUUAAAUCUACAAUAUUUAAAUUAAAAACCAUCAAUAUUAAUUUAUAUUUUUUUAAAUUAUUUUAUAACCUCAAUUUCAAAAACAUUCUUAACCAAACACAUUAAACUACUUUUUCUUCAACCUCAAUUUUAACCACAGUUUUAACCAAACACCUAUUUUUUUCAAACCAACCACAACUAAAAGUACUUUUUAUAAAACAACUUUUUUUAAACCACAACCACAACAGCUACCGCAAUACCAAACACACUCUUUAUCUAAACCUAUUUGUUACACCGAGGCUAAACAACAUCCUAAGUCAAAUUCAAUGAUGGCUGCGAAAAUCAAUGCAUUAGUCCACAAGGACACUUAGCCUAUAGUUCUUUUUUAUAUCUUUAUGAAUGUUGCUAGCUGCAAGUGGGUGUACUAGAUUAAAUAGAAAACUAAUCCGUCCAUUUAAUAUUAUAAAACCUGGUUGGUAGCUAUGAAAUAUCAUAAAAGAGAAUAUUGAAUUUGACAUGACCGUUAGUCUAAUUAUCAAAUCGGUUACAAUUUAGAUAGUUUUAUCUAUUACUAUUUUCCAAGACUGGUUUAUUUGUCAGUUGGAAGUUUACUACCCUCUGAGUUUUGUUGAUCCUCACCUUCCUUCUCAUGCAUGUAAACUUCACAAGUCUCUCUAUGGACUUAAAUAGGCACCACUUGCUGAGUUUGAUAAGCUUUGCUAUUUUUUUUAGGUCUUGCUUUUUGCGCGUGUCAAAUUGACACUUCCCUUUUAAUAUACUAAUAAUCAACUAUUUGCAUCUAUAUUUUAGCUUUUAUUGAUGAUAUUCUUAUCACAAAUAAUGAUCUUUUUUUUUUAAGACUCAAACAAUUACUCGUCUGAUUUAUUUUCUUGGUAUUGAGAUAUAACAUCUCAUAAGAAUUGAUGGUAUGUCUCAAUCUCAUAAGAAUUGAUGGUAUGUCUCAAUAUCAACCAAUUUCUACACCGAAAACUGUUGAUUCUCGUCUUUUUACCACCUCUACUAAGUGGCUCUACUUAUUCUUACCUUACUUUAUACCAUUAAUUGUGGUUGGAGUUUUUUUUAUAUGGCUAGAUAUUUCUUUUAUUAUUAAUAAGGUUUUUAAGUUCAUGCAUGUUGUCACACCCGGAUAUCACAACGAUUAAUUCAAAGUUUUUAUGAAAAAAAAAAACAAAUAUCUAACAUCUUGUUGUUUAGAGAAAAAUGCCUAAUUCAAUUAAUUGCCAUUUAAUAUUAUAAUCACUAGAAUCUUAACUGAUCAACAGAGAUUCUUAUGGUACGAGACUGAUUACAUGAAAAGGAAGAUGCUAUCACCAUUUACGCGUCCUGCUUAAAGCAGACUGCAUUGCUGGUUUUGUCUAAAAUCAUUAAGAGUUUGUUCUUCCUCUUUUUUUUUUAUUCUUCCUAUCAUGCUCUUGACUCUAAUGUCAGUAAACAAUACAUGCGAAUAUUUUCAACUCUGGCGUUAGUAAAUAUUAAUCAAACCCAAAAAAAUACGAUAUUCCUGACUCUUCCAUCAAUGAAUAAGUUUGUAAAAUUUUGAAUUUUUGUAUGAAGGAGAAAUAAAUUUUCUAUGCCCUUUUUUGUUUAUCCCUUUUUAUUAUUUACUCUUUUUAGACAAGCCUAAAAAAUCUAUAUUGCAUGACAGAUUUGCAUUUAACAAUCACGGUCCACAGAUUGAGCAUAUAGUAGGAAAAAAAAUGCAAUGAAAAAAUAAAAAAGUAAAAAAUAAAAUAAAACAAUGCGCGAGGGGUCCAAAAAUAAAUCCACGGAGGUCCCCAAAUAUUCUGAGAAUUUUUUGAUAUAAAAAAGAACUUGUUUGGUCAAAUAUCAAAAUAAAAAGGGCAUAAAAAAAAUAUGAUCAAAACAUAAGUAUGUGUUUAGUAACACUCUUAGCAAACACAGUCUGGCUGGCUGGGCUUGAAGCUCAGAUCUGACCCAUUCUAUAUGGGUUGGGCUAGACCCAACCCGCCCGGCUACUGGUUCAGACCAAUAACUGGUUGGUUCUGCAAGUGUGCGUGCUGGCGAGAGAUGUUGCUGGCUUUUGGCUGGGAUUCUGGAAUUUCCACUACUCUUCUUCUGCCUUCUCCUCCUCCUCUUUUCUUUUCUGCUCUUUUGGUUUGUGUUUAUUUUUGGUCAAGUUGAUUUGCUCUCAUUUUCUCUCCCCUGUUAUUCGUUCCCCUGUUUUCUCCUCCCCCUUUUUUCUUUUUCUUCUUUCUCCUCCCUCUUUUUUUUUUCCGUCAUCUAUGCCUCUGCCUUUUAUAGGCAUUCUGUCCUGCUUCCUAUCUUCCAUGAUAGUGAUAAGGCCUGGGUUUUUGUGUUUUGGCCGGAUUGGGACACCAAGAGUGCUGCCAUCGCUGGACUGUUGGUGGUGGUUUCCUCCACGCCUCAAUGGCUUGUUAUGGCGGCGAAGGACACGAAAACGAACUGAGAAGCUGGUGAUGGAAUUCGUGGGCAUUGCAAUGUGUCUGGUGGUGUGAGUUGUCUGUCUGGGUGGCAUUCUGUAUUUCCUUCGCAGGUUGUCCUCUGUUUCCAGAGGAAGAAGACGAAGAAUAGAACAAACGGCGCCGUUUCUGACUGGGGCGGCCCUUUUGCAAUUUAGUCAUUUUACGUUUUGACAUCUUCUAAUCAGGCCCCUGGGAACAUUAUAAUCAGACCCCUAGAUUUUUGCACCUUUUACAAAACAGUCAUUGUCUUCCAGUUUAAUGAAUUUAGUCUUUAAUUGGUUCCACACUUUGGUGUUUCUUUAAUUAAGCCUCUAAUCAUUAAUUAAACUAAUUUUAAACUCAAUUAAGUCUUCAAAUUUAUCAAUUCAUUAAUUAAACCCUUGAUAUCAUUAAUUAAAUAAAUUCAAAGUUUAAUGAAGUCCCCAAACUUAUCAAUUCUUUCAAUUUAUAGCAAAAUUAAACCUCAAUUUAUAAUUCCUUCCUGGUUAAUCCUCAAAAACUUUUCAUUUGUAUUGUCUUGAUUCAAAUCUCAAUUUUUCUUCAUUUAUUUAAUUUUUUUCAUUUUAUUUUCUUUUUAUUUUAUAAAAAUUAAAAAAAUUAAAAAUUUUGACAUUGAUUGGGUUAGUAAUAUCAAUUAUCAAAAGUCUUAUUUGUGCCUAGUUUUCUUAUGGGCUAAGCGUGCAAGCCUCGUAGCUUAGGUCUAUCUGCACUUGAUGUUUCUUGUCCAUCCUAUUUUUUUUUCUUUUCUUAUAAUUUUUAUAUCUUAAAUUGAAAACCUCUUUAAAUAAAUAAUUGCAACGAUGUUUCAUAAAUCAUUCAAUUAUAUUAUUAUUUUUAAAUAAAAUUAUAAAUUUUUAUGGUUAUAUUUGCAUUAUUUUUAUAAUUAUGUACAAAACUCGCAUGCAAAAUAUUUUAUAAAAUGAACAUUAAUAUUUAAUGAGAAUAAAACAUAUAUAUUUUUUUAUCUUUGUAUUGCCAAAUUUUAUAUUUUUUAUCAAAUUAAUUAUUCUUUAUUAUUUUCAUAAAGUCUCAUAAAAAUAAUGGGGAUGUUAUUAUUUUUUUAUUUUGUUUUUGAAAAUUAGCUCGAAAUCAUGAUAAGUUCUUAUAUAAAAAAAUCAACCUUUUAAUAGAAAAUACAUUUUCAUCAAAAUAAAAAUAAAUAUAUGAAUAACAAAAAGGGAAUAUUGGCAAAAGAAAUAUAUUUUUCCUCUUAAAUUUAAAUUAUUUGAAUUCUUAUGAAUUUUUAUUUUAGUUGUUUUAAUUUUUAUUCAAAAAACAUGUGGUGUUGAUUAAAAAAGAAAACUUUCAUGGCUUUGUCAAAUAAGAAAAUAAAUGCAUAAACAAGAAGGGAGAUUUUUGACUGAAUAAAUAUAUAUUUUACUCUAGAAUUUAAAUCAUUGAAAUUCUUUAAGAUAUUUUUUAAUCUCUAUAAAAUUAAAUAAAAAUUAAUUUUAAGAAAAGCCCCGCACCAUCAAAUAUGGGACUUUUCAAACAAUACUCGCCUAAAUAUCCAUUGGGUGUUGUAUUUGCUUGGGAUGGGAACUCUACUUAUAUUAAAAUAUUUUUAUUUUCAAUAGGAACUAAAAAUUAAGUUAUACAUCAUUGGAAAACAAAGGUAUCAAAUGAUAGAAAAACUAGAACUUAAGGGAUCAAGUUGAAGUUUUCCAUGUCAAAAUCUAAACCGUGUUUAUUUUGUUUUCUUUGUUAAAGUUGGCACCUCUUAUUUUAAUUUCUAUUUUUAAUUAUAAUUUGAGAUCGAAUCCACCAAAUAGACUUUUAAUUCAUGCUGAAAUAUUCAUAAUGCAAAUUGAAAGGAUUGUAAGGAAAAAAAAAACCAUGCUAAUACAACAAAAAAAUAUGAAAUUAAAAAGAAUAAAUGUUUAAUAAUUAAAUUAAAAAAAAAACACCAUGGCUGUGAACAGUAUAAUACAUAGUGUAAUGUGUCUGGCACAAUAUUGAAUUAAACUGGGCUAAAAUCAGUUGAAGAAAUUAUGAGUGAAAAAAGGUUUCACUGUUCUUAUUAUUUACAAAGCAAAGUUACACACAUGUAUAUAUAGAGAAAUCUUUAGCCAGUUAUUGUUACAAUCCUUCUAGGAUAGAUAUCCUAUCAGCGGCAGGAUAUAUCUGUCAGGUCUUUGUCUUAUGAUUACACACGGAAUUAUCCUUCAAUGCUAUCUGUCACCACAAUUUCAGGAACCGAAGAGAGUUUACAAGUGCAGGACACUAGAUAUUUGCAAUAGACGGAGUCAGAAUUUUUUUAAUAAAAGAAUAAAUUAUUAAUAAAUACUAUAUUAUAUAGAUAUGCAUUAGAAAUCAAUUCAAAUAUAUAUAAUUUUUAGUUAUUUCUAUAAUUUUUUUUUUUUUUUUUUUAAAAAAAACAUUCUUUAAGCGAAGAUUUAAUAGACUAACGCCUGGUCAAAGUCUUCUUUGGAUAAAAAGACCCGGCUUCAAUAUCACUGGCACGCUCUAGAAUUUCCAUGAAGGUCACGCCAAUACAUGGUUAGAGCUGUCCCAUAUAUGCAAGUUGUCCGUGGAAAUUUAUACAUUUUUUAUUAUGAUGUUAUUGUUGGGUUUCUUACAAACACGGUAGAACGAAUAAUCUUAAUUUUUUAAAUAAUAAAUAUAUUUUAUACGAAUAAAAUUAAUAACAAGUUUUAAAUAAUGUUAAAGAUAAAAAAAUAUUUUUUUAAAUAAUAAAAAUAUUUUAUAUGAAUAAAAUUAAUAAUAAAUAUCAGAUGACACCUACGAACCAAAAAGCAGGGCUGAGAGGUGGAAGUCAGCAGCCAAAUACAUGAAGACGGGAGUGUGAGGGCGAGGGCCUUCUGAGUUUCCCGUGUGGAAAAUUAUGCCAUUUGAUUGUUGAUGCUACAUACCCAACAACGCGGUUUUGUAAUCAAUGCUGCCGACCUGGGAAAAAGAUUUAUACUGAAGAGUCAAGGAGGCUCAUGAUUAGUAGAUAUGGGAAGCAAAGUGGUUGAGCUUCUUGAGCGAAGGUUCAAUGAUAAAUACAGCCAUCGUCUCGAAGUCUUUAGCCCUUUCGUCUGUUCCCAAGUAAACUGCCAAUCAUGACCAGCGGUUGCGCUUAAUAUCUGCUUGGAAUUAUAUUAGUGAUUAUGAUUUAAAAUAUUUUUAGUUUAGAAAUAUAUUAAAAUAAUAUUUUUUAUUUUUAAAAAAUUUAUUUUAAUAUUAUAAAUCAAAAUAAUUUAAAAAUAUAAAAAUUUUAUUUUUAACAAUUUUUUUUUUUUAAAACACGAACACCAAUCAAGAACUUGAAUACAAGCGCAGUGUGAGAAACACUCUUAUUUUACAAGAACAAAAACCCAUAAAUUCCAAACAAAACAAUUGUGUGUGGAAAAAAGAGAAGAGUUAGUGUUCAUACCCGCAUUGAUUGACAGGAAGAAGUCUUUAAUAACUCACAAAAGAGGCUUUUACCACUCAUUAUUCGUCCUCUAGCUCAAACUUGGAAAGGGUUAAACGAAAAUUUAAAAAUGAUUCCCAUGGUCUAGACCAGGAAAAUCAUUAUCAUAAUAAUUACCUAUACCCUAAACGGUACGUUUUUGUCAUAAAAUUCUUUUCUCUUGCAUUUUAGUCGUUAGGAGUUGAGAGAGAAUAGUAGCCAGCAAAGGAGAAAAGAGAGAAAAGUUUCAGCUGACUACAAAAAUAAUUGAUCCUAGCAUCAAUAAACUCUUCUUGAAAAAGUGUUUAAUGGAGGUUUUUUUCCUCAUACUUGAAAAAAUAAAUUGAGGUUUGCAAAAACAAUUUUAUUUGAUUUAAUUUUUAAUUUUUAAAGUGAGUAGAAAGUCUUUAUUGAUUGAAAAUGUAUUUAUUAAAGUGAGUAGAAAGUCGGUAAAAUCCGUCGGUCAUUCCAUUGGUAAACUGUGAACACUGUUCAUCACGUCAAUUACAAAGGGAAUCACCGACGAAAUUUUCCAUCAGUAUUUUCCAGAGAGCUCCAAAACUGUUCACUUUCCAAUUGCACUGUUAAUUGUUGUUUUUUACGGACAAAAUCACCGACGGAUUGAAAAGUCGUCGGUGUUAUUUGGCGGUUUUCUGAAAAAAUUCAAUUAAUUUAAAAUUUUCAUUUAAAUAUUACAGACGGAAUCACCGACGGAUUGAAAAAUCAUCGGUAAUUGUUGGCGGUUUCUGAAAACUUUUUACGAAAUUGAAAAUUUAAAUUAAAUAUUACUAAUGGAAUUACCGACGGAAUAAUUAAAAAAUAUUAAUAUUCAAUUAUCCGUCGGUAAAGCGCCGCAAUAAAAAGCCUGAAUCCCCUUAUUUCACAAGAGACAUACUCAUUUCUUAUUCUUCUUCUUCUUCUUCUUGUUCUUCUACUUCUUCUUCUUCUUUACUAUACGUAAAAAAACAUCAAUAUCUAUUUCUUUCUCUUCUUUUCUCUCCUCAUCUCCUUCUCUUUUCCUCCAUGCUUAGGUAUGUCUUCUUCUUCUUUCUUCUUUCUUCUUUUAUCCUCUCAGUUUUUUUUUAAUUAAUAUGCUUAACGAAAUUUUUUUUCUCUCCUUAGCUUCACUUGCAACUACAUUAAGAUAAGAUUUUUCUUUUUUCUUCUUUUUUCAUGAUUUUUUUCACUAUAUUUGUUUUUUAUUUUAUUUUUAUUUUUUUUUGUUCUUAAUAAUUGUAUAAAUGUUGUUGUGAGAUUUUUUUUUCAUAUGAGAUCAAUUUUUAGUUGAUUUAUUUAUAGGAUUUUUAAAUUUUUAGCAAUUUCAACUUCAUUUUUUUCAUAUGAAUUUUUUUAGUUGAAUUUAUUUUUUUGUUUUAUUUAUUUGUUGCAAAUUUGUUUGAGUUGAUUUUCUUAUUUUUUUUUCCAAGCAUUUUGAGUAUAUAUUAUACGGUCUUAAUUUAUGUUAAUUUAAUUAUUUUAUAAUUUUAUAAAAUGAUUUUUUUUAAAUGUUUUUAAAUAAUUACUGACGGAAUUAACGACGGAAAUUCCAUCGGUAAUUCCGUCGGUAAAUCCGUUGGUAAUAAAAAAAUAUUAUUACCGAGGGAUAUACCGACGAAAUGAAUAUUUUUUUAUUACCAAUGAAUUUACCGACGGAAAAAAAAUUACCGACGAAAGAUUCACCGACGGAGCAUUUCCGUCUGUGAUUCCGUCGGUAAAUUAAUUACCGACAGAAUAUGUGUCUUACGCCGACGGAAAAAUUCCGUCGGUAAAACUGUUAAAUCUUGUAGUGAAAAUUAGAUUUUUUUAAAGAUUUGAUAAAUUUUUCAAAGUUAUAUUAUUAUAAAUCACAAAUUACUCGAUUAUUCGGUUUUUGUUUGGACUUUGACUGUGAUGUUGACACAAAACACUUGCAUGCUAGUCUUUGUAUGUACCAUCAUCAUCCACCAACUCUAAAUCACAAAAUUAUUGCAACAACUAUAAUCAAUCAGCAACAACCAGGAAAUUACCUUUGAUCACACGCUGCUAAAGAAAUUAAUUUCCUAUAUAUGUUACGCUUCAUCUUUGAUAAUUAUUGCAUAUAUUGCUCUAAUAAUUUGCAAGAAAGCAUUUGCAUUCUUUCUCCGGAACAUUAAUAUUGCCUCUACUAUCCUUCAGUCCUGAUCAUUACUUUACUCUUCAGCUAACGUUUCUGAGUGCUGAAAUUUGAUCUUUAAAGUCGCCAGGUUGGUGGAAUCCGAUCAACUCAAACACCAUAUUGAGGUAAGCUUUGCGAUGGUUGCUACUGAUUGCAUGCAUGCAUGUUAUACAGAGGUAUUGCGAGCCCUAAAUUUUUAGCUAAAAUCUAAGUCCAAGUUAGUCUAAAUCUAACCUAAAUUAAUCUAGAUACAUAAAAAAAUAAUUGUAAGAGAAUUGUUUCUCACUUUUAUUUCUUGUGGCUGUCGUGAUCUCCCAUCAAACUAAAGAUUUUAAUUUUUGAUCUUGAGUUUUUAAGUUCAAAAAAGAUGGAAAUAACAAGUAAAUGGUUCUCUCUCAUGUUAUUUUCAAUUAUGGUUUGUUUAUGGAAGGAUUAAAAAAGAUAUUAGGGUUUAUAAGAAUUUGAAAUUUAUGUUAUUAAGAUUGAUUUAUAAUUAUUAGGAAUUUAAUAUUAAGUGAUUGAUUUUGAGUAUGUUGUUAGAAAUAAAGAUUUGUGAAUUAAUUUGUUUAAAUAGAUUUUUAUGGGUUAAGAAGUUUAUUUUGGAAAAUCUGGACAGAAUGGUCUUGAGGUUGAAAAUGAUAAAAUUUUAUUUUUGUCUUUGAUUUAUGAAAAUUAUAGUUAGUCCUUGAACUUUGGAAAAUUAUAAUUUAACCCCUGAUAUGUCUUUUGGAAUUCUGGGCAGUAUUAUUAUGAGGUCAAGGAUGAUGAAUCUCAGUUUGAUAAUUGAUUUGGAAUAUUUUCAGUUUCGUCCCUCAAUUUUGGGAAUUUACAUUUUAGUCCCUGAACUUUAAAAGAAUUACAAUUUGGUCCAUGUUUCGUUCUGGGCAGAAUUGAGGAUGGUUUAUGGAUGGAAUUUCAGUAUGGUUAUGUAUUUACAGUUUGGUCCUCCAAUUUUUGUAAAAUCACAUUUUGGUCCCUAUUUUGGAAAAUUGUCGUUUUAGUCCCUAAACUUAAGCGACUAAAUCUGGUUUUAUUUUAUGCAUUGGGAUCUUUUAUUUGUGUUGGUUUUUUAGUUUAUUUUGUAUAUUUGUUGUAGGUUCUCCUAACUAUUCUCAAUAAGAUUUUCGGAUCUUUCAUAUUAUUUUCCUUUUAAUCUAUUUUUUUUCGGGUGAGUAUGAUAAUCUUUAAUAUGCAUAUUAGGGGUGAGCAAAAAAACCAAGAAACCGAAUAAACGGAGAAAACCGAGAAAAAAAUAACCGAAAAAACCGAACCGAAAAAAAAAACCGAUUAAUUUUUUUGCAAAAAGUUUCGGUUCGGUUCGGUUCCGGUUCCAGAAACCUGAAACCGAAAAAACCCCAACCGAACCGAACCGGUUCGGUUUAAGGGGUACUAUAAAUACAAAAAAAAAUCGCGUUAUUUUUCUUAACCCUAGCAUCCAUACUCCUGCUCCAGCCGUCCUUCUCCUUGCUCCUGACUCCUGAGCCGCUCCCUCAACUCACAAUUCACAAUUUCACAUCUGUGACAAAAUCAAUCCAUCUUCUGAUCUUCAUCUACUGGACCACAGCCAACCACAUCUCUUUCCCAGCAUAUUCAUCUUCAAAGUUCAAACGCCAGUCAGCCACAUCCCUCUCCCACCGGCCACCAUCUUCAUCUUCAAACCCCAGUAAGUCACAUCCCUCUCUCACACGGUCACACCCGAUCUUGAAUCGCAGGACACACACCACACCGGCUACAAGCCUGAAAGAUGGCUCAAUGAGGAUGGCGUGCUUCAGCAAGAAAGCCCUUUCAAGUUUACAGCUUUCCAGGUUAGUGAAAAUAAAGAUCUGUCUAAUUCACUUGAUUAACAUUCAAAUAAAUUUUCUGCUGCCUUUGCUGUGCAAAUCAUUAAGAUCUAUUUUCAGUGCUUGCUCAGCUUAACUUUAUGGACUCCCAUCUCGUUGACCAAAUGACUAAAAUCAGGCUUUCUGCUGGUUAACAGGCAGGGCCACGGAUAUGUCUUGGGAAGGAAUUUGCUUAUAGACAGAUGAAGAUCUUCGCGGCUGUCUUAUUGGGCAGUUUUAUUUUUAAACUCGUUGAGUCCAACUUUUGAUCCAGUCAGGCAGUCACCUCCCUCUCUCACAUCCGACCUUGAAUCAUGUCACAACAGGUAUGGUUUCUUUUUUCUGUCAAUCUCUGUUUUUUUUUUAACAUAUGCUCUGUGAUUCUGUUUAUUAUGAGCUUGAUGUUAUUACAUCAGGGAGAAAAAUAGGAAAAAACAGUUUCCCCGAGAGGCAUUUGUUUUAAAUAUCAUUGCUAAUCCAUUAUUAUGGUAUGCUGUUGCUGUGUGCUAAAAAAACAAAGAAUUAUGUUUAUUAUCUGUGUUAAAAAAAGAGGGGGGGUUCGGUGGAUUGUAAUUUAUCAAUUCUGAAAACUAAGUUUUUUUUAUUUUAUGAAAAGAGAAUAAUGUGUAUAUAUAUAUAUGCUGCUGGGUUGAAAUUACAAAAUACAAUAUAUGCUGCUGUGUUCUAUAUAUAUAUAUAUAUAUGCUACUGGGUGCUGAGAUUGUAUUUCAACCCAGCAGCAUAUAUAUAUAUAUAUAUAUAUAUAUAUAUAUAUAUAUAUAUAUGAAAAAAGAGUAGCUUGGAUUGAAGGGAGAAGUUUUUGUAUUAAUUUGCCAUUGAUUGUACUCAGCACCCUUACUUUGGAUUGUUGAUCAAUUCCAAAAAUAAUGAAAAGUUCAUGAUAUAUGCUUGAGUUUUCCUUUGGUUGGCAACACUCACGAAUUUAAAAAAGAGUAGCUUAAUUAAAUAACACCUUUUGCUUCAUACUCCCUUCUCACCCAUGUUUCUGAACUACUAGAUUUACCAUUCGAAUAUAUAUAUAUAUAUAUAUAUAUAUAUAUAUAUAUAUAUAUAUAUAUAUAUAUAUAUAUAUAUAUAUAUAUAUAUAUAUAUAUAUAUAUAUAUAUAUAUAUAUAUAUAUAUAUGCUGCUGUAUAUAUAUAUAUAUUUUGUAUUGUAUUAUUGUCUAUUGAAAUUACAAAAUGCAAUCUCAGCACCCAGUAGCAUAAUUUUUUUUCAACAUAUCAACCAAAAUAAAAGAACUUAACUUGUGAAAAUAAUCUUUAAAAGUACAGUUGAACUUAUGCAUGUCAUACUAUUGUUAAUCUAUUAUAAAUUAUUGGUUUUUAACAUGUUUUCAUUAUGUAAUAACAGAUGGAAACUACUCAAAUUCAAAAUGCUUCAUCCAUGGGCACUACUCCAACAUCAACUACUUCUCCAACUUCAAAACCUAACGCAGAAUCAACCAAUGCAGGGUCCACCACAGAUACAAAAGGUAAACAACCUCAAGUCCUUACAUCUAGGAAAAGAAAUGCUGAUGAUAAAAAGAAGUCACAAAUUUAGGAUCACUUUACAAAACUUGAUGUUGAUCCUAAAGCCCCUAGAGCUGAAUGUAAUUAUUGUGGAAAACAUUAUGCAUGUCAUACUAUUGUUAAUGGCACAAGUAAUAUGUGGAGUCAUUUAAAAGUGUGCAAGAAGUUCCCUUUUGUGGUUGAUAAGAAACAAAAGGUUUUGGUAUUAGAACCUAAGAUAGAGAAGGGUGAAUUGGGAGAACAAAAUGUGGGAAGUCUCAAGGCAAUAGGUUAUAAUUAUGAUGAAUGUAGACAAGCACUAGCAAAGAUGGUUAUAAUUGAUGAGUUGCCUUUUAAUUUUGUGGAGGGUCGGGGAUUUAAAUUGUUUGCUAGGACUAUGCAACCUAGAUUUGACAUUCCUUCUCGUUUUACAAUUAUGAGAGAUUGUUUGAAACUUUAUGUUGAAGAGAAGGAUAGAUUGAGGACAGCUCUUAGGGGUCAACGAUUGUGCUUGACAACAGAUACAUGGACAUCAAUCCAAAAUAUUAACUAUAUGUGUUUAACAGCUCAUUGGAUUGAUAAUGACUGGAAUUUGCAUAAAAGAAUUCUUAAUUUUUGUCAAGUUUCCAAUCAUAUGGGUGAGACAAUUGGCCAAGUUAUUGAGAAUUGUUUGUUGGAGUGGGGGAUUGAUAAACUGUUGACUAUUACAUUAGACAAUGCAAGCUCUAAUAAUGUGACCAUUUCAUAUUUAAAGAAUGUGAUGAAAGAUUUGCCAACUAAUAUAUUGUCAAAUGAGCACUUGCAUGUUAGAUGUUGUGCACACAUUGUAAACCUCAUUGUAUGUGAUGGCUUGAAAGAGAUUAAUGAUUCAGUUGUUAAGAUUCGAAAUGCCAUUAGAUUUGUGAGAUCUUCACCAUCGAGGCAUCUUGCAUUUAAGAAGUGUGCUGAAAAGUUGCAUAUAGAGUGUAAGAAAUCAUUGUGUUUAGAUGUUGCAACUCGAUGGAAUUCAACUUAUCUUAUGCUAGAAGCUGCUGAAAAGUUUGAAAAGGUGUUUGUGAGGUUAGGUGAAAAAGAACUUAGGUAUAUAAGUUACUUUUUGGAGGUUGAUUCAAAGGGGAAAAAAAAAACAUAGGGCCACCUGGUUUGGAGGAUUGGGAAAAUGCAAGAACUUUGGUUAAGUUCUUAAAGAUCUUUUAUAUGGUUACAUUGAGAUUUUCUGGCUCAUUGCAUGUCACAUCAAAUUCUUUCUUCAAUGAAUUGAUUUACAUGCAUACAAACUUGUUGCAAUUGUGUAAAAAUAAAGAUAGUAUUUUAAGUGGAAUGGCGAUGAAUAUGAUGUUAAAGUUUGAGAAGUAUUGGGGUUGUGAAGUAAAUCAGAAUUUUUUGUUAUAUGUGGCUACUGUCUUAGAUCCACGUUUGAAGUUGAAAUAUGUGAAAUUUUGUUUUAGUGAUUUGUAUGAUUAUGACAAAGCACAAUUGCUAACAACUAAGGUGAAAGAUACUUUGGUGAACUUGUAUGAGUUUUAUUUGAAAAUUGAUGAAGUGGUGGAUAAUAAUAGGCAUAAACAGGAUGUUAAUGCUAUUGAUAAUGUGGAGGUAGAUGUUAACACUUUGGCUCGAUUCAAAAGACAUUUGCUAGAGGUGGAUAGUGUGGAAAAUAAAAAUGAGGUUGAGAGGUAUUUGAUUGAAGGUUGUGAGGAUCCUGAUGAUGAUAAGUUAGAUAUUUUGGGUUGGUGGAAAAGUAAUGCUUUGAAAUAUAAGACACUUUCAAAGGUUGCACAACAUGUUCUGGCUAUUCCUAUAUCCACAGUGGCUUCUGAAUCAGCAUUUAGCACAGGUGGUCGUGUGCUUGAUCAAUUUCGAAGUUCUCUCUCUCCAGCAACUGUUCAAGCACUCAUUUGUUGUCAAAAUUGGUUGCAUCAUGGAUCAAUUCCAACUGAUAUUAGAAGCUUGAUAAAUGAUCUUGAAACCUACGAAAACCUUGAGUCAGGUAAUUUUUUUUAGAAAUUUGCACCUUUUAUUUUGUUAUUUAUUAAUUAAAUUGUUUGCAAUCAUCUAACAUGUCUAAUUUUUUAUUUUGUAGAAUUUGGUGGAAAGUUACAUUUAGUAACGGAUGAUAAUUAGUUCAAAAGUUACUUUGAUGGUAAAAUACUACUAUUUAUUUUUACAUAUUCUAAUUUAUUUUAUCAUGUUAUAAUUUUAGAUCUUGAUUUUCAGGUUUUGAUGUCAAUGGUAUUACGGAAUCAAAGUGCAAUGUUCUUGUUAUCUUGUUGUGCUUUUUGAUUAAGAUGAUGUGCACAAUGAAGAUUUAUAUUUUUUGCAUGAAGUAUUUUAUUUUUUAUGGCAAUGUUAUUUGUUGUUUUUUUAAGCCCAUUUUGAAGGCAAUGCUUUGUAAUUUUAAUUUUAAUUUGGUGUGUGUGUUAUUUAAAUUUUGAUGCAUGAGGAGUCCAAACUCCAAAAUAUAAAUAUUAGAAAGAUGUGCAACAUAUUAAACAUAAUAUUAGCACUAAUAAUUUAAUAUAAAUGAAUAUUUAGUGAAAAAAAAUAUUAAAUAUAUUAUAGAAUUUUGUAACAAAAUUAGAUGAUAUUUACAUUAAUUACAAGCCCAUCAGAAAACCCAUUAAAAAGCCCGAAAAGCCCAAAAAAGCCCAAAAAGGCCUAAAAAAACAAUAAUACAGGUUUUCCGGUUUUUCUGAUAAAAAACCAAACCGAACCGAACCGAAACCGGUCGGUUUGAACCGGUUCCGGUUCGGGUCCGGUUUGAAUUUUUAAGUUUUUCAAAAUUUGAUUUUGGUUAGUUUUUUGGGUAAAAACCGAACCGAACCGAAUUUGCUCACCCCUAAUGCAUAUAAUAUAAAUAAAUAUGUAUGUUGAUUAUAUAAUGAAUACGACUAGUUAAUUUCUUGAAUAUUUAUAUAUGUUGCUUUAUGUUUCAAGUAUUCAUUUAUUCUUGAAUUUGCACUCGUAUUCUGUCGAACUAAAUUCUAUUGGAUAUGAUAUAUAUUUAUUUGGUGAUUAUGUGAAUAUCUAUUAUGCCUUGAUACAGGACUUGUCAGUCACUCCAUGUUAACGAAGAGUAGUUAGCAUAUGUGCAUAUAAUAUUCUGUAUACCUAACUUGUGAGAGAGGCAUCAGCCUGCGGCGAUUGAUCCUUCCAAAGUGGCCACCUUCGGGUGUCAUCUAGUCUCUGACAUGUAUUCCAUCACUUUAUGAUAACAUGCUUAGUAUGUGUAUAUAUAUAUAUCAAGAUAAAUCAACUUACAAACUAUUAAUAUCUAAAAUAUAUAUUAAGUGUUAUUCCCUCACGGAGUUAGUUGAACUCACCCCUCAUUGUUAAUAUUAUUUUAGGUUCUUAAUUUUUGUUAGCAGGUGGACUUUGUUGAGUAUUUCUACUUCGUCAGUUUUAGUCGGUAUACCUUACUUGUUUUACGAGGCUUUCCUUAAGUUUUGAUUCGAUGUUUUAGACGCUUCACUAUUAUUCUAUUUUAAUUAAGUUUGGAUUUUAACAAUGUAGUAAAUAUUAUGGAUUAUUGUUUUUGUUUUAAUUACCGAUAAUAAGUUUUGAACUGUUAUUUGGUUUUAUUAGUUUUAAAUAAUAAAUAUUUCUGAAGAUUUCACUAUGUAUUUUUAAAUAACUUGUUCUUUUGAUAUGUUCAUUAAACUUAGUAUAGGUAGAGAGUCUUUUCAACACCACUCUUGUGUUACCAGCCAUGCACCUGAGAUUCGGGUCAUGACAAGUAUAGCUACCUCUUCUUUGCUUCUUUCUUGUUUUAAAUUGAUGUCUUUACUCAUAACAAUAAUUUGAAAGCUUUAUGUUCAGAUAGACAUCAUUGAUGAGUUUAUUGAGUUAAUUCCUUGGAUGUCUUCUAGAACAAGAUCAUUCUACUUUAGAAUGCCGAAAGAAAAACGCAAACAAUCCAAAGAUGAAGAAAAUGAUUCAUCCUCGCGAAAGAGAAGAAAAGCUGACCUCAUGAGUAAGCUUUUUAAAUGCUAUUGUUUUGUGCUCUCUGGUUCUUAAACUUGAAGUAUUAGGUGAAACUCAAUGAAUGAAUGAUUUUCUUACCUUACUCUCUAAUAGUAAUUGCGUUGAAAUUCCUACUCAGCACAUUCAUAUGUAUUGUCUUUGAUGAUCACUUCACAUGUAUCCCUUACUAGUUAUAAACUUAUAAUUCCACGAUAGCAGAUACCUCCUGCAAUCUCUUCAUUGCUAAUUAAUUAAUCGUGCCUUAAUUUCUGCAGCUGCCAUGACAGAGCCAGAUUCUUCUCGAUCUAGACCACAAGGGGCCUAUGAUGUCUUUUUGAGUUUUAGAGGAGAAGAUACUCGCAAGACAUUUACAGAUCAUCUAUAUACUGCCUUAGUCCAAGCAGGAAUCCACACUUUUCGAGAUGAUGAUGAACUUCCUAGAGGAAAAGAAAUCUCCGAUCAUCUCCUCGAGGCAAUUCAAGAAUCAAAGAUAUCUAUAGUGGUCUUCUCAAAAGGAUAUGCUUCGUCUAGAUGGUGUCUUGAUGAACUUGUAGAGAUUGUGAAGUGCAAAUAUAGGAAAACUAGAACUUAAGGGAUCAAGUUGAAGUUUUCCAUGUCAAAAUCUAAACCAUGUUUAUUUUGUUUUUCUUAUUUUAAUUUAUAUUUUUAACUAUAAUUUGAGAUCGAAUCCACCAAAUAGACUUCUAAUUCAUGCUGGAAUAUUCAUAAUGCAAAUUGAAAGGAUUGUAAGAAAAAAAAACCAUGCUAAUACAACAAAAAAAUAUGAAAUUAGAAAGAAUAAAUGUUUAAUAAUUAAAUUGAAAAAAAAACCAUGGAUGUGGCACAAUACUGAACUAAACUGGGCUAAAGUGAUUGUGCCAUCUCUUUUAGUUAUUUCCAUAAUCUUUGGUAUAGACCUGGGAAAAAGGAGGUUCAUGAUUAGUAGAUAUGAGAAGCAAAGUGGUUGAGCUUCUUGAGCGAAGGUUCAAUGAUAAAUAUAGCCAUCAUCUCGAAGUCUUUAGCCCUUCGUCUGUUCCCAUGUAAACUGCCCAUCAUGACUAGCGGUGGCGUUUAAUAUUAGCGGUUAUUAUAUAAAAUAUUGUAAGAUAAUCAUUAUAUUUCAAUAUAUGAUCAAGGAAGAUAUAUAUAUAUAUAUAUAUAUAUAUAUAUAUAUAUAUAUAUAUGCAAGUUGUGACUAGUUUGGACUUUGACUGUGGAUUUUUUAGAAUUUUUAAAAAAAUUACUUAAAGAUUAGAUUUUUUUAAAGAUUUGAUAAAUUUUUCAAAGUUAUAUUAUUAUAAAUCAUAAAUUACUUAAUUAUUCGGUUUUUGUUUGGACUUUGACUGUGAUUUUGCCAAAACACUUGCAUGCUAGUCUUUGUAUGUACCAUCAUCAUCCACCGAAGUCUAAGUCUUCAAUAACUCACCAAAGCAUUUGCAUUCUUUCUCCCAAACAAUAUUGAUUUUCUUAUUCUUUUUUCCAAGCAUUUUAAGUAUAUAUUAUACGGUGUUAAUUUAUGUUAAUUUAAUUAUUUUAUAAUUUUAUAAAAUGAAUUUUUUUAAAUGUUUUUAAAUAAUUACUGACGGAAUUAACGACGGAAAUUCCAUCGGUAAAUCUGUUGGUAAUAAAAAAAUAUUAUUACCGAGGAAUAUACCGACGAAAUAAAUAUUUUUUUAUUACCAACAGAUUUACCGACGGAAAAAAAAUUACCGACGAAAGAUUCACCGACGGAGCAUUUCCGUCGGUAAAUUAAUUACCGACAAAAUAUGUGUUUUACGCCGACGGAAAAAUUCCGUCGGUAAAACUGUUAAAUCUUGUAAUGAAAAUUAGAUUUUUUUAAAGAUUUGAUAAAUUUUUCAAAGUUAUAUUAUUAUAAAUCACAAAUUACUCGAUUAUUCGGUUUUUGUUUGGACUUUGACUGUGAUGUUGAUAAAACACUUGCAUGCUAGUCUUUGUAUGUACCAUCAUCAUCCACCAAGUCUAAAUCACAAAAUUAUUGCAACAACUAUAAUCAAUCAGCAACAACCAGGAAAUUACCUUUGAUCACACGCUGCUAAAGAAAUUUCCUAUAUAUGUUACGCUUCAUCUUUGAUAAUUAUUGCAUAUAUUGCUCUAAUAAUUUGCAAGAAAGCAUUUGCAUUCUUUCUCCGAAACAUUAAUAUUGCCUCUACUAUCCUUCAGUCCUGAUCAUUACUUUACUCUUCAGCUAAUGUUUCUGAGCGCUGCAAUUUGAUCUUUAAAGUCGCCAGGAUGGUGGAAUCCGAUCAACUCAAACACCAUAUUGAGGUAACCAGCUUUGCGAAGGUUGCUACUGAUUGCAUGCAUGCAUGUUAUAUAGAGGUACUGUGAACCCCAAAUUUUUAGCUAAAAUCUAAGUUGAAGUUAGUUCAAAUUAAUCUAACAUAAGUUAAUCUAGAUAUAUAUAAAAAAAAGUUGUAAGAGAAUUGUUUCUCUCUUUUAAUUUUUAUGGCUGCUGUGACCCCCAUCAAAUUAAAAAAUUUAGUUUUUAAUCUUCAGUUUUUGAGUUCAAAAAAGGUGGAAGUAACAAGUAAAUGAUUAUCUUUCAUGUUACUUUCAAUUAUGGUUUGUUUAUGGAAGGAUUAAAAAAGAGAUUAGGGUUUAUAAGGAUUUGAAAUUUAUAUUGUUAAGAUUGAUUUAUAAUUAUUAAGGGUUUAAUAUUAAGUGAUUGAUUUUGAGUAUGUUGUUAGAAAUAAAGAUUUGUGAAUUGAUUUGUUUAAAUGGAUUUUUAUUGGUUAAGAAGUUCAUUUCAACCUUGCUGGAAAAUCUGGACAGACUGGUCUUGAGGUUGAAGAUGAUAAAAUUUUAUUUUGAUCUUUGAUUUAUAAAAAUUAUAGUUUAGUCCUUGAACUUUGGAAAAUUAUAAUUUAACCCCUGAUAUGUCUUUUGGAAUUCUGGGCAGUAUUAUUAUGAGGUCAAGGAUGAUGAAUCUCAGUUCGAUAAUUGAUUUGAAAUAUUUUCAGUUUGGUCCCUCAAUUUUGGGAAUUUACAUUUUAGUCCUUGAACUUUAAAAGAAUUCCAAUUUGGUCACUGGUUCGUUCUAGGCAGAAUUGAGGGUUUAUGGAUGGAAUUUCAGUAUGGUUAUGUAUUUACAGUUUGGUCCUCCAAUUUUGGUAAAAUCACAUUUUGGUCCCUAUUUUGGAAAAUUGUCGUUUUAGUCCCUAAAGUUAGGAGACUAAAUCUGGUUUUAUUUUAUGCAUUGGGAUCUUUUAUUUGUGUUGUUUUUUUAGUAUAUUUUAAAUAUUUGUUGUAGGUUCUGCUAACUAUCCUUAAUAAGAUUUUUGGGUCUUUCAUAUGAUUUUCCUUUUAAUCUAUAUUUUUCCGAGUGAGUAUGAUAAUCUUUAAUAUGCAUAUAAUAUAAAUAAAUAUAUAUGUUGAUUAUAUGAUGAAUACGACUAGUUAAUUUUUUGAAUAUUUAUAUAUGUUGCUUUAUGUUCUGAGUAUUCAUUUAUUCUUGAAUUUGCAUUCGUAUUCCAUCGAACUAAAUUCUAUUCGAUAUGAUAUAUAUUUAUUUGAUGAUUCUGUGAAUAUCUAUUAUGCCUUGAUAUAGGACUUGCCAGUUACUACAUGCUAACGAAGAGUAGUUAGCAUGUGUGCAUAUAAUAUUAUGUAUACCUAGGUUGUGAGAUAGGCAUCAACAUGUGGCGAUUGAUCCUCCCAAAGUGGUUAUCUUUGGGUGUCAUCUAAUCUCUGGCAUGUAUUCCAUCACUUUAUGAUAACAUGCUUAGUAUGUAUAUGUAUAUCAAGAUAAAUCAACUUGCAAAUUAUUAAUAUCUAAAAUAUAUAUUAAGUGUUAUUCCUUCACUGAGUUAGUUGAACUCACCCCUCAUUCAUUAUUUUAGAUUCUUAAUUUCUGUUAGCAGGUGGUCUUUGUUGAGUAUUCCUACUUCUUCAGUUUUGGUCGGUAUGACUUGCUUGUUUUACGAGACUUUCCUUUAGUUUUGAUUCGAUGUUUUAGACGCUUCACUAUUAUCCUAUUUUAAUUAAGUUUGGAUUUGAACAAUGUAGUAAGUAUUAUGAAUUAUUAUUUUUGUUUUAAUUACCGAUAAUAAGUUUUGAACUAUUAUUUGGUUUUAUUAGUUUUGAAUAAUAUAAUAUUUCUGAAGAUUAUAAAAUACUUCAUAUUUUUAAAUAAUUUGUUCUUUUGAUAUAUCCACAUAGGCAGUGAGUCUUUUUAACACCACUCUUGCGUUACUAAUUAUGUACCCGAGAUUCAGGCAAUGACAAAUAUAGCUACCUCUUCUUUGCUUCUUUCUUGUUUUAAAUUGAUGUCUUUACUCGAAAGCUUUAUAUAUAUGUUCACAUAGACAUCAUUGAUGAGUUUAUUGAGUUAAUUCCUUGCAUGUCUUCUAAAACAAGAUCAUUCUAUUUUAGAAUGCAGAAAGAAAAACGCAAACAAUCCAAAGAUGAAGAAAAUGAUUCAUCCUCGCGAAAGAGAAGAAAAGCUGACCUCAGUAAGCUUUUUAAAUGCUAUUAAUGUUUUACGCUCUCUGGUUGUUAAACUUAAACAAUUAGGUGAAACUCAAUGAAUGAAUGAUUCAUUAAUUAAAGUUAAACAAUUAGGUUAAACUUAAACUACAAUGCUAAUUAAUUAAUUAAUCAAUUAAUUGUGCCUUAAUUUCUACAGCUGCCAUGAUAGAGCCAGAUUCUUCUCGAUCUAGACCACAAGUGGCCUAUGAUGUCUUUUUGAGUUUCAGAGGAGAAGAUACUCGCAAGACAUUUACUGAUCAUCUACAUACUGCCUUAGUCCAAGCAGGAAUCCACACUUUUCAAGAUGACGAUGAACUUCCUAGAGGAGAAGAAAUCUCCGAUCAUCUCCUCAAGGCAAUUCGAGAAUCAAAGAUAUCUACAGUGGUCUUCUCAAAAGGAUAUGCUUCUUCUAGAUGGUGUCUCAAUGAACUUGUGGAGAUUCUCAAGUGCAGAAAGAGAAAAACUGGUCAGAUUGCUCUUCCUAUAUUCUAUGACAUUGAUCCUUCAGAUGUGAGAAAACAGACUGGCAGUUUUGCUGAAGCAUUUGUUAAACAUGAAGAACGUUCUAAAGAGAAGGUGAAGGAGUGGAGAGAAACUCUUGAGGAGGCAGGAAAUCUAUCUGGAUGGAAUCUCAAAGAUAUGGCAAAUGGGUAUGCCUUUUCUCUAUAAGAUUCACUUCCACACAUUUAUAUAUGGAGUCAUUAUACACUACAUAUUUUACAAUGUGAAACAAUAAAAUACUUUAUGAACAUACUUAAUUGUCUCGCUAUUAAUGACUUGCUUUUGUCUAUGAACAGGCAUGAAGCAAAAUUUAUCCAAGAGAUUAUCAAGGAUGUGUUGACUAAAUUGGACCCCAAGUACUUACAUGUUCCUAAGCACCUAGUAGGUAUUGAUCCGCUUGCUCACAAUAUUUUUCACUUCCUAAGUACUGCAACAGAUGAUGUACGCAUUGUGGGCAUACAUGGGAUGCCAGGAAUAGGAAAGACGACUAUAGCAAAAGUUGUAUUUAAUCAACUCUGCUAUGACUGUGGAUAUGGAUUCGAGGGAAGCUCAUUUCUUUUGAAUGUCAAAGAAUCAGAAUCUAAGGAUAUGGUUCUUCUACAGUAACAACUUCUUCAUGAUAUUUUAAGACAAAAUACUGAGAAGAUCAAUAAUGUUGAUAGAGGAAAGGUUCUGAUUAAAGAACGACUCUGGCGCAAAAGAGUUCUUGUCGUUGUUGAUGACGUGGAUCAUCUGGACCAAUUAAAUGCUUUGAUUGGAGAGCGAAGCUGGUUUGGUCGCGGAAGCAGGGUAAUAAUUACAACUAGAGAUGAACGCUUACUUCUUGAAGUUGAUCAAAGAUACCAGGUUCAAGAACUGAACCCAGAUGAGUCCCUUCAGCUUUUCAGUCAGCAUGCUUUUAGGGAUACCAAGCCAGCAAUAGAUUAUGUUAAGCUUUCGAAUGAUGUAGUUGAAUACUGUGGAGGGCUUCCUUUAGCUCUUGAGGUUUUAGGUUCUUCUUUGUUUGGGAAAAACCAAGCUAGAUGGGAAUCUGUAAUUGACAGAUUGAGAAAAUUUCCGAACUGUGAAAUUCAGAAAAAACUUAGAAUAAGUUUAGACACACUGGAUGAACCUACACUAAAGAAUACAUUUCUUGACAUUGCAUGCUUCUUGAUUGGUACGUAGAAAGAAAGAAUACGUAGCAAAAGUGCUAGAAGGACGUUAUGGUUACAAUCCAGAAGAUGAUUUGGGAACUCUCAUUGAAAGGUCUCUGAUUAAAGUUAAUCAUUCUGGAA
RNAcentral lists this long non-coding RNA (30954 nucleotides) under Populus trichocarpa (black cottonwood). RNAcentral describes it as "long non-coding RNA (PTRI_LNC002049)". Lineage: Eukaryota; Viridiplantae; Streptophyta; Magnoliopsida; Malpighiales; Salicaceae. The record is from RNAcentral.